RNAcentral lists this ribosomal RNA (814 nucleotides) under Colletotrichum brevisporum. RNAcentral's name for it is "LSU rRNA". It matches the Rfam family "Eukaryotic large subunit ribosomal RNA", at positions 82 to 925 of the family's 3401-position model. The record is from RNAcentral. Lineage: Eukaryota; Fungi; Ascomycota; Sordariomycetes; Glomerellales; Glomerellaceae.
AGUAACGGCGAGUGAAGCGGCAACAGCUCAAAUUUGAAAUCUGGCCCCCCGGGUCCGAGUUGUAAUUUGCAGAGGAUGCUUUUGGCGCGGUGCCUUCCGAGUUCCCUGGAACGGGACGCCAUAGAGGGUGAGAGCCCCGUACGGUUGGACACCAAGCCUAUGUAAAGCUCCUUCGACGAGUCGAGUAGUUUGGGAAUGCUGCUCAAAAUGGGAGGUAUAUUUCUUCUAAAGCUAAAUACCGGCCAGAGACCGAUAGCGCACAAGUAGAGUGAUCGAAAGAUGAAAAGCACUUUGAAAAGAGGGUUAAACAGCACGUGAAAUUGUUAAAAGGGAAGCGCUUGUGACCAGACUUGCGUCCGGUGAAUCACCCAGCUCUCGCGGCUGGGGCACUUUGCCGGCUCAGGCCAGCAUCAGCUUGCCGUCGGGGACAAAAGCUUCGGGAACGUAGCUCUCUUCGGGGAGUGUUAUAGCCCGUUGCACAAUACCCUUCGGCGGGCUGAGGUACGCGCUCCGCAAGGAUGCUGGCGUAAUGGUCAUCAGCGACCCGUCUUGAAACACGGACCAAGGAGUCAACCUUAUGUGCGAGUGUUCGGGUGUCAAACCCCUACGCGUAAUGAAAGUGAACGCAGGUGAGAGCUUCGGCGCAUCAUCGACCGAUCCUGAUGUUCUCGGAUGGAUUUGAGUAAGAGCAUAUAGGGUUGGACCCGAAAGAAGGUGAACUAUGCGUGUAUAGGGUGAAGCCAGAGGAAACUCUGGUGGAGGCUCGCAGCGGUUCUGACGUGCAAAUCGAUCGUCAAAUAUGCGCAUGGGGGCG